RNAcentral lists this ribosomal RNA (425 nucleotides) under uncultured bacterium. Its description in RNAcentral is "bacterial SSU rRNA". It matches the Rfam family "Bacterial small subunit ribosomal RNA", at positions 368 to 793 of the family's 1533-position model. The record is from RNAcentral.
UCAAUGGGCGAGAGCCUGAACCAGCCAUGCCGCGUGCAGGAAGACGGCUUUCUGAGUUGUAAACUGCUUUUGUACGGGAAGAAAAGUCCUUGCGAGGAAAUUGCCGGUACCGUACGAAUAAGCACCGGCUAACUCCGUGCCAGCAGCCGCGGUAAUACGGAGGGUGCAAGCGUUGUCCGGAUUUAUUGGGUUUAAAGGGUGCGUAGGCGGAUCUUUAAGUCAGUGGUGAAAUCCUGCAGCUUAACUGUAGAACUGCCAUUGAUACUGGAGGUCUUGAGUAUACUAGAGGUAGGCGGAAUUUAUGGUGUAGCGGUGAAAUGCAUAGAUACCAUAAAGAACACCAAUAGCGUAGGCAGCUUACUGGAGUAUAACUGACGCUGAGGCACGAAAGCAUGGGUAGCGAACAGGAUUAGAUACCCUGGUAG